Molecule: ribosomal RNA, 204 nt
Filed under: Salmonella enterica subsp. enterica serovar Haifa
Lineage: Bacteria; Pseudomonadati; Pseudomonadota; Gammaproteobacteria; Enterobacterales; Enterobacteriaceae
Description: partial 23S ribosomal RNA
Rfam family: Bacterial large subunit ribosomal RNA
Source: RNAcentral
GAGCAUCCUCCAAGGCUAAAUACUCCUGACUGACCGAUAGUGAACCAGUACCGUGAGGGAAAGGCGAAAAGAACCCCGGCGAGGGGAGUGAAAAAGAACCUGAAACCGUGUACGUACAAGCAGUGGGAGCACAGGUUUACCUGUGUGACUGCGUACCUUUUGUAUAAUGGGUCAGCGACUUAUAUUCUGUAGCAAGGUUAACCG